AGCAGCCGCGGUAAUUCCAGCUCCAAUAGCGUAUAUUAAAGUUGUUGCAGUUAAAAAGCUCGUAGUUGAAUUUCGGGGUUCAUCCGUUGGUCGGGCUUUUUGGUCUGUACUGGCGUGAUGGAUUCCUACCUUCUGAAUAACCAGCAUGUCAUUAAUUUGGUGCGCUGGGGAAGCAGGACUGUUACCUUGAAAAAAUUAGAGUGCUUAAAGCAGGCUAUCGCCUGAAUACAUUAGCAUGGAAUAAUGAAAUAGGACGGCAUGGUUCUAUUUUGUUGGUUUCUAGGAUCACCGUAAUGAUUAAUAGGGAUAGUUGGGGGCAUUAGUAUUCAAUUGUCAGAGGUGAAAUUCUUGGAUUUAUUGAAGACUAACUUCUGCGAAAGCAUUUGCCAAGGAUGUUUUCAUUAAUCAAGAACGAAAGUUAGGGGAUCGAAGACGAUCAGAUACCGUCGUAGUCUUAACCAUAAACUAUGCCGACUAGGGAUCGGACGAUGUUAAUUUUUUAAUG
Molecule: ribosomal RNA, 505 nt
Filed under: uncultured Acaulospora
Lineage: Eukaryota; Fungi; Glomeromycota; Glomeromycetes; Diversisporales; Acaulosporaceae
Description: SSU rRNA
Rfam family: Eukaryotic small subunit ribosomal RNA
Source: RNAcentral